GAAAAAAUAACUUCGGGAAACUGAGGAUAAUGUUUCAUAGUUGAAUUGGCUUGGAAAAGUUUUUCGACGAAAGGGGUAAAAAAAAUGGUUUUUAUCUGCUAUAGGAUAGGAUCGUGUUCGAUUAUGGUUGUUGGUGAGGUAAUGGCUCACCAAGCCGAUAAUCGAUAGGGGCCGUGAGAGCGGGAGCCCCGAGAUGGGUACUGAGACAACGACCCAGGCCUUACGAGGCGCAGCAGGCGCGAAACCUCCGCAAUACACGAAAGUGUGACGGGGCUACCCAAAGUGUUCAAUAGAACUGUGGUAGGUGAGUAAUGUUCCCUACUAGAAAGGAGAGGGCAAGGCUGGUGCCAGCCGCCGCGGUAAAACCAGCUCUUCAAGUGGUCGGGAUAAUUAUUGGGCUUAAAGUGUCCGUAGCCGGUUUAGUAAGUUCCUGGUAAAAUCGGGUAGCUUAACUAUCUAUAUGCUAGGAAUACUACUAUACUAGAGGGCGGGAGAGGUCUGAGGUACUGCAGGGGUAGGGGUGAAAUCUUAUAAUCCUUGUUGGACCACCAGUGGCGAAGGCGUCAGACUGGAACACGACUGACGGUGAGGGACGAAAGCCAGGGGAGCGAACCGGAUUAGAUACCCGGGUAGUCCUGGCCGUAAACGAUGCAUACUAGGUGAUGGCACGGCCAUGAGCCGUGUCAGUGCCGUAGGGAAACCGUUAAGUGUGCCGCCUGGGAAGUACGGUCGCAAGGCUAAAACUUAAAGGAAUUGGCGGGGGAGCACCACAAGGGGUGAAGCCUGCGGUUCAAUUGGAUUCAACGCCGGA
This 811-nucleotide ribosomal RNA is filed under the name uncultured archaeon. RNAcentral describes it as "bacterial SSU rRNA". It matches the Rfam family "Archaeal small subunit ribosomal RNA", at positions 120 to 922 of the family's 1478-position model. The record is from RNAcentral.